UACGUAGGUGGCAAGCGUUAUCCGGAAUUAUUGGGCGUAAAGAGCGCGCAGGUGGUUAAUUAAGUCUGAUGUGAAAGCCCACGGCUUAACCGUGGAGGGUCAUUGGAAACUGGUUGACUUGAGUGCAGAAGAGGGAAGUGGAAUUCCAUGUGUAGCGGUGAAAUGCAUAGAGAUAUGGAGGAACACCAGUGGCGAAGGCGGCUUCCUGGUCUGCAACUGACACUGAGGCGCGAAAGCGUGGGGAGCAAACAGG
This 253-nucleotide ribosomal RNA is filed under the name uncultured bacterium. Its description in RNAcentral is "partial 16S ribosomal RNA". It matches the Rfam family "Bacterial small subunit ribosomal RNA", at positions 524 to 776 of the family's 1533-position model. The record is from RNAcentral.